This 726-nucleotide ribosomal RNA is filed under the name uncultured bacterium. Its description in RNAcentral is "bacterial SSU rRNA". It matches the Rfam family "Bacterial small subunit ribosomal RNA", at positions 74 to 818 of the family's 1533-position model. The record is from RNAcentral.
CCAACGGAAGUAGAGGAAAGUGGCGGACGGGUGAGUAACGCGUGAGGAACCUGCCUUGAAGAGGGGGACAACAGUUGGAAACGACUGCUAAUACCGCAUGACGCAUAGAGGUCGCAUGAUCUUUAUGCCAAAGAUUUAUCGCUUCAAGAUGGCCUCGCGUCUGAUUAGCUAGUUGGCGGGGUAACGGCCCACCAAGGCGACGAUCAGUAGCCGGACUGAGAGGUUGAACGGCCACAUUGGGACUGAGAUACGGCCCAGACUCCUACGGGAGGCAGCAGUGGGGAAUAUUGGGCAAUGGGCGCAAGCCUGACCCAGCAACGCCGCGUGAAGGAAGAAGGCUUUCGGGUUGUAAACUUCUUUUAAGAGGGAAGAGCAGAAGACGGUACCUCUAGAAUAAGCCACGGCUAACUACGUGCCAGCAGCCGCGGUAAUACGUAGGUGGCAAGCGUUGUCCGGAUUUACUGGGUGUAAAGGGCGUGCAGCCGGGUCUGCAAGUCAGAUGUGAAAUCCAUGGGCUCAACCCAUGAACUGCAUUUGAAACUGUAGAUCUUGAGUGUCGGAGGGGCAAUCGGAAUUCCUAGUGUAGCGGUGAAAUGCGUAGAUAUUAGGAGGAACACCAGUGGCGAAGGCGGAUUGCUGGACGAUAACUGACGGUGAGGCGCGAAAGUGUGGGGAGCAAACAGGAUUAGAUACCCUGGUAGUCCACACUGUAAACGAUGAAUACUA